GAUUCCGGCCUCAGGAAUAACGCAAGGGCAGGGCUAAUACANGGCAAGUCAGGGGGAGCAGCUCNGGAGCAAUACAGAGGCUGGCGACCGGCAAACGGGUGCGGAACACGUACGCAAUUUACCCAAAACUGGGGAAUAGCCUUCCGAAGGGAAGAUUAAUACACCGUAACCUAUUGAAGUGGCAUCACCUUANUAGUAUAGCUCCGGCGGUUUUGGAUGAGCGUGCGGCUGAUUAGAUAGUUGGCGGGGUAACGGCCCACCAAGUCUGCGAUCAGUAACUGGUGUGAGAGCACGACCAGUCACACGGGCACUGAGACACGGGCCCGACUCCUACGGGAGGCAGCAGUAAGGAAUAUUGGUCAAUGGACGCAAGUCUGAACCAGCCAUGCCGCGUGAAGGAUGAAGGUCCUCUGGAUUGUAAACUUCUUUUAUGGGGGACGAAACCUCUUUUUCUAAAGAGACUGACGGUACCCUAGGAAUAAGCACCGGCUAACUCCGUGCCAGCAGCCGCGGUAAUACGGAGGGUGCAAGCGUUAUCCGGAUUCACUGGGUUUAAAGGGUGCGUAGGAGGGCAGGUAAGUCAGUGGUGAAAUCUCCAAGCUUAACUUGGAAACUGCCGUUGAUACUAUCUGUCUUGAAUACCGUGGAGGUGAGCGGAAUAUGUCAUGUAGCGGUGAAAUGCUUAGAUAUGACAUAGAACACCAAUAGCGAAGGCAGCUCACUACACGAAUAUUGACUCUGAGGCACGAAAGCGUGGGGAUCAAACAGGAUUAGAUACCCUGGUAGUC
This 788-nucleotide ribosomal RNA is filed under the name uncultured bacterium. RNAcentral describes it as "bacterial SSU rRNA". It matches the Rfam family "Bacterial small subunit ribosomal RNA", at positions 15 to 795 of the family's 1533-position model. The record is from RNAcentral.